UACCACAUAAUAGGAAAUCUUGUUUGUU
This 28-nucleotide non-coding RNA is filed under the name Mus musculus (house mouse). The record is from RNAcentral. Lineage: Eukaryota; Metazoa; Chordata; Mammalia; Rodentia; Muridae.